RNAcentral lists this ribosomal RNA (422 nucleotides) under uncultured eukaryote. RNAcentral's name for it is "bacterial SSU rRNA". It matches the Rfam family "Eukaryotic small subunit ribosomal RNA", at positions 592 to 1018 of the family's 1831-position model. The record is from RNAcentral.
CAAUAGCGUAUAUUAAAGUUGUUGCGGUUAAAACGCUCGUAGUUGGGUUUCUGCCAGGAGCGACUGGUCCGCCCAAGUGGCGAGCACCUGCACAGUUCCUGGCAUCCUCUUGGGGAACGGGUGCGCACUUCAUUGUGUGGCUCGGAAACCAAGACAUUUACUUUGAGGAAAUUAGAGUGUUCACGGCAGGCAUUCGCCUUGAAUAUAUUAGCAUGGAAUAAUACUAUAGGAUCUUGGUUCUAUUUUGUUGGUUUCUAGGGCUAAGAUAAUAAUCAAUAGGGACAAUUGGGGGCAUUCGUAUUACGGCGUCAGAGGUGAAAUUCUUGGAUUGCCGUACGACGAACUACUGCGAAAGCAUUUGCCAAGGAUGUUUUCAUUGAUCAAGAACGAAAGUUAGGGGAUCGAAGACGAUCAGAUACCGU